Molecule: long non-coding RNA, 5136 nt
Organism: Sapajus apella (tufted capuchin)
Lineage: Eukaryota; Metazoa; Chordata; Mammalia; Primates; Cebidae
Exons: 6
Source: RefSeq, a predicted model, not a curated record
GUCAAGACCAGGAGUGCAGAGAGUGGGAGAGAAGACCCCCUCCGCCCAUCCUGGGCGCCAGGUUGGUCCUAACCUCCACCCAGUGUCAACUUUUUGCUGCUCCCGUUAGAUGGCGCCCAAUACUUUCUAACCACUUGUGAAAAUGCUCCUGGCCCGGAACAAAAAGAACCGUGGGGUGUGAGUGUGAGUGUGUGUGCGCGUGUGAGUGCGAGUGCGCGCGCGGGGCCGGGCACAGGGCACGGGCGUCGCCUGGCACUACGCGUGGCCCCGUCGCGGGUCGGCUUGGCCCAGGGCAGGGGCGCGCUGGCGGGAGGAGCUGCGCGGCCGGCGGAGAACUUUCUUCGUUUUCCCUUCGCUCUCCCUCUUGGGCUCGCGCCUAGGCCCUGGCCACUCUCCCGGAGAGAAGCCGAGAGAGCCGGCCGCGGCCUCAAGCAGCCAGCGCUGGCUCCAAAUGACCGCGGGGCCACAGUGCGCGAGAGGAAAGGGGUCCGGAACUUGCGGGAUGGAGAGCUGGGACGCACAUGACAGCCCCUUUCUCCGCCCUGACUUACGGCCCCAGCGCUCACAGCCGCUGCUCUCUUUUUAAGAGAAUGGGGCAGGUGCAGGUUUGGUUGCUGCUGUUUUAGCCGCUCCAAGGAAAUUGUUUGGUGUAAGAUUGAUUUCCUAAGCGAAUGCGUGCACGUUUCCAGCAACACAGGGCAACCUUUCUCGCCCCCAAAGCCGGUGAAAUUAAACAGACUUCCUUAUGAAAAGCCCCUUGGGGACCCUAGGGCGUUAGAUGCGACAACUAAUUUUAAAAUAACUGUUUAACGGGUGGUUAGGGAGGGCGCUUUCUCUCCACUACCAAGUUCACCUCUUCUUCCACCCCCUCUAAAACAAGUGACUUGACGAUAGGUGAUCCCGUCCCCUAGUCCUCUCCUUAAUGCCAGUCUGGAAGCGCACUGUCUUGGAGAAGGGAUGCGUCUCCUCGCCCUCGAGAACCAGCGCGGAGACCUUCUUUUGUGCCUCCGCUUGGCUGUGAACUUUCCCGCGCGCCCUUCCCCCAUACCCGGUGUACUGCAAGAAGCUGGCUCCGGAGCUCAGAGCCCGAAGUGUGUGCUCUGGUCUUUGAUGAUGUUGAUAAAAUGUGGUUUCAAAUGUUGUCCCGAAGAGGCCGGUUUCCUGUCUGUGUGUGGAAUGGAAGUACCGCGCCGGGGCACCACGAGGCACCCUGAGAACUCAGAGGACCCAGAGGCUCCCCUCAAACAAAUUCCCUGCUGACCCUGGGUACCCCUUGAAAGAGGAGCAAGAGGCUGCCACAAGAGUCGGCUUAUAACUCCCAGCAAAGACUCCCAGCAAAUGAGUUCUGUUUGGGCUCUGCCUACCACUAAGCCUGGUUGUGGGGGAGGCAGGGCCCCUGAACAGGGCAAGGAUAAUCAGUUGUUCCCCUUUCUGGGGUCAGAGGCAAAGAAGCCUGAAGGGCUGGUGGUGGCGCUGGCUCUGGGUUUAUUGACUCUGUGAUCCUAUCCAGCUGUCCUGCGGGGAGUUCCAGAGCGCUCCCAAAGUGCAUGGGGAAACUGCAGAAGCAGGACUGGGGCACAGUACCAGAAGCUAUUUGUCUCUUAGAACCUGGCGCCCCCUCCACUUACCUUACAGGAGACCCACAUCACUCAGGUCUCAGGACACCUGGUGGGAGAGAUUGGUGAGAGUUGAAGGCAGAUUUCCUCUACUUACAACUUGUUUGAAAAUGGACAUAAAGAGGAGAACAGACACUCCAUCGCCCAUACAGGGCCUCCAUUGUGUCAGAAAACCUAUCCCCUCCUAGGGCACCCUUGACACUCCCCUAGGUGGGCCUACAUAUUAUUCAGGACCUGUCCCCUGUACCCAAAUAAAUAUAAAUGAGUUCAUUUAUUUAAAAGAAAUAUUACCAGGCUUAUAAGAGCCACGCUAGUGAAAGAAAAAAAAAAAGAAAAGAAAAGAGAAGAAUUUUUUUUUUUAAAAAAAGUAAAAAAGAAAAGAAACAUUACAGCUUUAAACUUUUCCCAGCCAGAAUCCACCUAAUUGCAUCAAGAUCUCUUGCCAGGAGCCAUAACCCCUUCCCCACCUGUUUUCCCUUCUUUUUUUUUGUGGCUUAAAAUUGCAUUUUAGGAGGGUUGAUAUAAUGUUGUUCAUGUCAGCAAGUCUCCCUGCCCCACCCUCACCACACCACCCUAUAUGGAAUUAUAGUUGGAAACCACACACACACAUAGAAAAUCUUUUAAGAUUUUUUUCUGCUAUUCUUCCUGACUAGAAGAGUUGACAAGACAUAGACACAUUAAGUUGCAUAAAAUACAGUAGCGUGAUCAGCCUAAAUGCAUCUCAUUUGCACUGUUUGUAGCCAGGGGUGGGGGCUUGUGUCACUCAUUGCCUCCCCCUCCUCCUCCCAGGGUAGAUCAGCCCGCUGGAAUUUCAGAGCAGGCCCCAAGGCAGCAGCCAUUUGGGAGGUGGAAGCCCCAGCCCACCCCAGGCCAGGGGUGGUGGGAGGGUGGUUAGGGAAUGUGUCUGCAGGUCUGGCCUGAGGGCUUGAACCAGCUUUGGCAGACCUGGGCUCUGGGAGGCUUGGCGGGUGGGUGCCCGCAGCUGGAAGCUGGAGGUCUGCAGCGAUGCUUCUGAGCUUCUCUUGAGUUGAGUUCAAGAAAGGGGACACCAAGAAGUAGGGGAACAGUCACUGACUAUAUUUUAUAUCCAAGCCUGCCCUUUCCCAGAGUUGUGUUCUCACUAUCCUCUUUGCCGGUGGACGGGAAACACUUCUGCCUAAUGGGUUUCUGCACCUGCUCCUAGCCCUGAACUCGGGCCCUGAGCUUCUCACUGCCGCCUGCUCUGCGCUGAGCCCCACUCCUGAGCCCGGGAGGUGCCGGAGCAGCGCCUCUCCCACCACUCCGAGAAGCCCAUGGGAGCUGCGCCGGAGCCUUCAAAACCCCGUAGGGGCGUGGGGGUGAAGUUGGGGAUCAUUCGGGUGAUUUUUUUCUUACUAUUUCCCAAUCCCUCUCCCGCGUUGAUGUCAACUCUCCCAGUCUCCGGGUGUUGGGGCGCCAAUCUUCUCCCUCCAAUUCCUACCCACCAGCUGGAGGUCGGGUCCCAGGGUUGCCCCAGGGUUCAAUGGCGGCGGGGGGGCGCCGGGUAGAGGGGCGGGAGGACCUGGAUCUUCGGGGACUAAAGGGGACCUCAGCAGGGUCGGAGUGCAUAGCCUUGGCCGUUGGGAGAUACUCCACUAGCCACUGUGAGUGCUCAACAGCGUGUCGUGGGGGCGUCCCUUCUGCAGCUCGGGUGACUCAGACGCCCCGCCAGCCCCGCCAGCUCCCCGCUUCUCGAACGCUCUUCUGCUUGCCCAGCGGGGAGGCUUCAGGGCCUGCCUCCUCAGGCCAGAUUGUAGCCCGCGACCUUCCCGGGCCAACCAAGGGCGAGGCAUAUUGCCCAACAAGGCCACCGCCUGACUGAGCCUCCAGGGGAACAGCCAUUGCCAAAGCCCCGCGGGCCCAGGCGCGGCCACCUACCAGUACCCGCGCAGGCCUGUGGGAGCUCACGGGCAGAGGCCGAGAGGCUGGACUGCCAGCCCCACACCGCUGACAGCCGGGCACAUCUGCGGAGCCCGGGGGAACAAUCAGCGGGCUCGGCGUCCCGGGAGCUGGGGACACGCCUGCAAGGAUUGGGGCGAUGCUGUCCUGGAAGAACAGGCUUUCUGAAUGUGACCUCGGGUUGCUGCAGCGGCGCCAUACUGCUACUGAUGAUCGAGGGUAGCUCGCCUGCCACCGGCAACCAGUCCCAGUAGCCUUGGGUACCACUGCCCCCACCAUAUCACCGUUGUAAAGGAUGGACUCCUGCUGAGCCAAGGUGCAGCUCUAGGCAGGAUCCCUGAAGGAUGCUCUGGCACACAGAGGGUGGAGGGCUUUCCGCCUGCACACAGUCAUUUGGAGAAAAUCAAGUGAGCGCACCUCUCCCCACAGAGGAUUCUGUGUGUUAUGUAACAGACUCACACUGGGAUUCCUCAAGUUACCAUUUUGCCCCAAAUCAGCCAGGACUUGGUUUUCUGGCGGGGGUGUCAGGAUGAUGCAAAUGGAGGUGGAAGCUUCAUUCCCUGGGGGCUUUUAUUCCCCUUCUUGAAGCCCCAGUUCAAGGCCCAGGAACAAAGGGGAAAGGUAACUGAUCUCUCUUUUGGUCUUCCUCUCCCCUCACUUCCAGCCCCUCAGUUACAGACCCUCCUCUUUGAUAAACAGAGGAAAGCCAGUGGGAUCAGGUACAUAUAUAAAUACUGCUGACCUCGGCCUCCCCUUCUCACCGAAAAGCGGAAGCCCAGCCCGUUUCAGGUGCAGGCUGCUCCCUGCUUUGAGUGUCCACCACUUCUACUCCCCCAGGCUGCAUGAGACUCAAGGCUACUCACUUAACAUGCCUCUCUUGUUAAAAAACAUUCAGGACAACUGUUAAAUAGUUCUUGGAAGAGUUUAAGACCUUCUUUCAGGAGCAAAACGUUUUUAAAGCCUUGCUUGGCAGAAAUCUUUAAGGCGUACAAAGUAGAAUCAGUAGGCUCGCCUGAGCGAUUUUGAAAUUUGAAAGAUUUCUCCCCAUGAAAUGUUAAUUUAAAAUAGUUUGUAGAUGUUAUUUUGUUGUACGAUGGCUUUUUCACUAUUGUCACCUAAAGAUUCUCAAGACCAAGCUACUAAGACAUUUCUUUUGAUUUGGUUAGUUUCUGGGUGAUACUAUACUUUCUGAUUAGACCUAUUUAAUUUAUUUUUUUAACUCUGCAGGACAGUUUUCAACCUUGAAAAUGUAAGUGAAACACAGACUCACCCUCCCUCUGAGACCCUGUUAGGUGCAGAAAGGAACAAAUCUAGCUAGCCUCACUCACACCUCGAAGUUUCCCUGUCUGAACCUGGGUACAGUGAGCAUGGUGGGUUUUGACACCUUUUAUUUUAUUGCUGGCUCAAGGAAAAUUCUUUGAAAUGAAUAUCUAUUCUAUUUCAGUGUGCAGUGUUCCAGCCAACUAAAUGGGCCUGCCUUAUGCCAAGAGGCAGUCCUGGAGGACAGAGCUAAUAUGUGAUCUCCCAGGAAGCUCAUCAGAACACCUCUUGUCCCUUUUCUUAAAAAAAAAAAAAAAAUUAAAAAGUUUUUGGUUCCCUCUCA